Molecule: ribosomal RNA, 253 nt
Filed under: uncultured Parabacteroides sp.
Lineage: Bacteria; Pseudomonadati; Bacteroidota; Bacteroidia; Bacteroidales; Tannerellaceae
Description: partial 16S ribosomal RNA
Rfam family: Bacterial small subunit ribosomal RNA
Source: RNAcentral
UACGGAGGAUGCGAGCGUUAUCCGGAUUUAUUGGGUUUAAAGGGUGCGUAGGUUGUUUUUUAAGUCAGCGGUGAAAGUUUGUGGCUCAACCAUAAAAUUGCCGUUGAAACUGGAAGACUUGAGUGUGUUUGAGGUAUGCGGAAUGCGCAGUGUAGCGGUGAAAUGCUUAGAUAUUGCGCAGAACUCCGAUUGCGAAGGCAGCAUGCCGGCUCCACACUGACGCUGAGGCACGAAAGCGUGGGUAUCGAACAGG